Molecule: ribosomal RNA, 253 nt
Filed under: uncultured bacterium
Lineage: Bacteria
Description: partial 16S ribosomal RNA
Rfam family: Bacterial small subunit ribosomal RNA
Source: RNAcentral
UACGUACGAGGCAAGCGUUAUCCGGAAUCACUGGGCGUAAAGCGCACGUAGGCGGAUUGUUAAGUCAGGGGUGAAAUCCUGGAGCUCAACUCCAGAACUGCCUUUGAUACUGGCGAUCUUGAGUCCGGGAGAGGUGAGUGGAACUGCGAGUGUAGAGGUGAAAUUCGUAGAUAUUCGCAAGAACACCAGUGGCGAAGGCGGCUCACUGGCCCGGUACUGACGCUGAGGCACGAAAGCGUGGGGAGCAAACAGG